UACAGCCUUCUACGAGAAACCCCGCCACCUCUCAACGGAUAUCUUAAAUCCCAGCGACGGUCGAUUUUUCAGUCUCUUAUACCAUCCUCCCCAACCCCGAACCAAAGCCGAGAGAGAUCGAGGCAGCGGCCGAGACGAAGCAGAGAUGGAGCGAGGAGGAGGAGGAGGAGGAGGAUCAGGGGAUGACCCGUUAUCAUGGAGAGGAAAGCAAAAGCGGAGCUCCAUGGAUGAGGAGACAGAGGAGGAGGAGGAGGAGACGGAGAGGUAGACGUCGGCUUCCUCUUCAUUUCAAGAAUGUUUGCUAAUUCUGUCAAGAAAUGUUCAAGAACUCAACCUCUGCUCCUUUUUCUUUCUUUCUUUUUUUGGCUCCACGCACUUGUCUUAAUCUUUCUUUUCUUCUUGAUCUUCUUGGUUUCUUUUACUGCAUCAGCCCAGCAGCGUCGUCUCCGGAUCCUUUUGUUCCUGCCAUCAGAGAGUCUCUUGGAAUCAGAGAUGAAGGACCGGGAUGCUAUCCGUGGGCAGGACUGAGCUCGGAUUUUUCUUAUGAACGCGAGGGUGAAUCCUUUUCUCCCUUCUACUUUUUAUUUCUUUUCCACCAAUUGUGUUUAGUUACUAAAGAAUUCAAUUUAUAUCAAAAAACAUUCUGUUUGGUUGAAUUUUGAACAGGGUUUCUCCCUCCCUCCCUUCCUGCCUCUCUCUCUAUAUAUAUGCUUCCAACUAUGUCAUUGAUACAAAAGAAUUCUGUAAAUAAUGCAAAAAUAAGAAGAAGCGUUUCAUUUAAUAUACUUCUAUCCAUGCCUCUUUUACCAAGGAAAUUAGGAGAUAAUGCAAGAAAAGGGAAGAAAAGUUUCAUUUGGUCCAAUCUUGGAUAGUAAAGAUUUCUCCUACUCUCUCUAUUGAUAUGCAUGUUUCCACAUUGUAGUUACAAAAAUAUUUGGUAAACAGUGCAAGAAACGAGGAUAAACAUCAUGUUUGGUCGAAUUCUAUAUAAGAAUUAUCCGAAAAGUAGGAAUUAUGUGUAGAAGUCUAGAAAAUAUGGCCUUCAUAAUAGUUGGAAAAAGGGUCUAGAAUGCCCUGCAGAAUCUAAGUGCCCAAAUUUUUAAACUGGGUGAAGCAGCAUCAUAUUUGCAAGAAAAAUGAAAGAAGUGAGUCGAAAAGCAGAACUUGGAAAAAAUUUUGAUUGGUAGUUAUAUUUAAGGGUUAAAAAUUGUGUGAUUUAGGAACUUUUUUUCCUUUAUAAUCGAAAAUAUCAUGUAUGUAUCCGUAAUAUGUAAAGGAACCUCCUUUGUAAGUGCUCAUAUACUUGCAAAUCGGACUUAUUAGAAAGCUACCUAUAGGAUGACUCACAAACUUGGGAAAUCUUUCUAUGGUGAGGUGUAAACUUGUGAAAUUGGAAAGAAAAUCUGGUGAUGAUAUUAGAGCCUAAAGUGCAAUAAUUUUUCUUCCUUAUUCAAGUGGAAACAUGUCAAAGAAUCAGGUAUUUAGGUCAGAAAAGGAACAAAGGCAGGGAUGCUCAUUUCUUACAGCAAGUCUAAUCCUUGAAAGAAAGGCCACAAUGUUUCAUUCCUGUGGAGUUUCUGAAAUAAAAGCUUGCUUACCCUGCUUAGCUAUUCUGCUUGCGGCCAAUUUUGGCGAAAUGAGCACAAGGUGCUAUAAUGUAUCUGCUUUUAGUGUUGUCAGUUGAGAAGGUGUCCAAUUAUCAGAUCACAUUUUGAUCUUCUGUGAUAUUGGUGGAAGGUCUGAUAAUUGCAGAAAAUUGCUCAGUGACACCAAUUUGUGUAUGGCAUUUGAUCUUCUGUCAUCACCAAUGUAUAUAGGUAUGAAACUUGGAUCUUUUAUGAGAUUUUAUGCACUUAGGACUGGGGAAAAGUGUCAUAUGUGAUCAGCAAAGUUAAGCGAAAGAAAUGAAUGAAAUAAUGCCUUUUUACGUAUGCUUUUCUAAUGUCAAGAACAAGCAAUCAGUUCAAUAGACAAUGUAUCUCCAAGAUACUUAAUGUUUAGGAUUAGUGAGAAGGCAUAGUGUGGAGGGGAGUCUUGGCUGAAGAUAUUACAGAAUUAAGUGUGCUACUGUUCUCUAGAAAGUAAAAAAGAGCAAGUAGUUUGAUAGUAUAUUAAUCCAUUGGAAAAUUGAUAUCAACUAGGUCUUAAAGGUAGAGGAAGGCAAAAGAGUAAGUGUGGAGGAACAAAUUUGUUGUGUGGGAUGAAUAAGGUGAGUGAUUAACCAAAUUACCUGCAAUAGCAAUUUAUCUUAUAGGGAAAAUUCAAGGCAGAGAGGAAAAUCAGAGGAAACUAAAUCAAAAAUCCAUAGGAAACCCUAGAGAGAGAUGCAAAUAUUUAAGGAGGCUUCAGUGCUGAGAAUUAGAAAAGUGGCAUGCUUUUCUUCUUUUUUAUUUAAGAAAUUCUUUUCUUGCCAACAAAAAUAGGCACCAGGUGAUGAUAUGUAGCAUUAGGUGCAAGGUAAGAACAUCUUCACCUGCUCAUAGAAAAUGAUAGAAUUGAAUGACUUGAAAUCCUCAGUGCUAAUACAUUUUUGUUAAAUUUUGAACUGCAUUUUUGCUUCUUAUCAUUAAUCUCUCUUUCAUACUAUCCAUUUUUAAACAAUAAUAAGCAUUAGACAAAUUACAUGAAGUCAAGUAUCUCUCUUGAAAUACAUUUACAAAUUACAUGAACAUCCUAAAUUUAUUAUUGCUGUCUUCUCCUUCCUGUCGUCACCUUUUGCCCUAUGAUUUUAAUCAUUAGUAUCUUUAAGAUAACCAGGUUUUGGUGAACCAGCUAGCGACAUCGAUGACAUCUCUUGGAAUACCAAAUCUACAUAUGCUUCUUCCUUGCCUAAUUGUUCUGAAGGUUGUUAUUUUGGGUCCAUUGACUGAACACAAUCCAAGUAGCCUCCUUGUCGCUUUAGUUGUUGUCACAUACUCAGCCAUUGUAACAUGCACUUUUAACUACUGGGUCCUUUGACUAAGUAAGAUUAACAUAUAUCGUGUAUAUAUCUUAUCUGCAGCACAUAUGCAAAGCUGGAAUCUUCAUGUUAUAUCAAUCCUCUUUUCAUGCUAAUGGCAGUGGCAGCUGUCUUUUAUGCAACAAAGAAUCUACUUUACUGUGUUUUAGUGACUCUUAAAAAGAAUUUACUGUGAAAUGGCAAAAACCAGAUAACCUGUGAGUUAUGCAAGGCUAUGUAGACCAUCAGAAUUGUUCAUUUAAACUUAAAGCAUGCGAGUUUUAUUUUUCCCAUAAA
This 3235-nucleotide long non-coding RNA is filed under the name Phoenix dactylifera (date palm). RNAcentral describes it as "long non-coding RNA (PDAC_LNC003474)". Lineage: Eukaryota; Viridiplantae; Streptophyta; Magnoliopsida; Arecales; Arecaceae. The record is from RNAcentral.